GCUACAAUUGAACAAGAAGGGGUGGGGGCAGGGGGAAAGGAUAUGUUCCUGGGCCACAGAGGGAGAAGGGCUCGCUGCCUGGGUGACAGCUUGCUCUUUGCUUUCUCCCUCAUGCCUCUCUGAAGAAAAAGACAGGCGGGGGCGGAGAAGGGGCCCGUCUCCGUUUUUUGUUCCAAGGCCCAUUCCAGCCUUGUUAGGUCCCUGCAACCACUACAGUGUGUGAAAUGGCAGGCUGUGUACUGCGUGGCCCCUUAAUGUUCAUGCAGAUGCAUUGGACAUCAAUAUGUACUACAAAUAAAGAUGUGUUCCUCCUGCCACACUCUGCACACUCCAGGGAUGGUUAACCUGGACACCAUCUUUGAAGAGACUCCAGCAGAAGAGGAAGAGGAGCCCACCCCAGCCUGACUACCUGAUUCCAAGGACCAUUUUCUGGCUCCCUCAGGCAUACAGCUGGACACACACACGGAAGAACCCUGAGGGCACUUAAAAGAGGUAGUGAGGAAGAUCUUCUACUUCUUUCAGAUAUCUUAGUCAAUCUACCUUCAAGAACAGAAGAGGGCAUUAGUUGGAACCUUGCAAAAGGCCUGGGAAGACUGCAAUACCAUAUCUGACUGCAUGUUUUGUAACCCUACCUGGAACCAGGAAGAGGGGAAGAUAUGUAACUGCUGCCAAACUAAAACAACCACCUGCAGGGCUGCUAGUUCCAGCCUCAGUUGGCACUGAGUAAAAAGAAGAAGAAAAAUGUG
Hemicordylus capensis (graceful crag lizard) is the source of this 746-nucleotide long non-coding RNA. RefSeq lists it as uncharacterized. The record is from RefSeq and is a predicted model, not a curated record. The transcript has 4 exons. NCBI's taxonomy places the organism in Eukaryota, Metazoa, Chordata, Lepidosauria, Squamata, Cordylidae.